Small nucleolar RNA from Cervus hanglu yarkandensis (Yarkand deer), 132 nucleotides. Its record names the gene SNORA70. It matches the Rfam family "Small nucleolar RNA SNORA70". Rfam says of the family: snoRNA U70 seems to be exclusive to mammals and is a member of the H/ACA class of snoRNA which contain H (ANANNA) and ACA box motifs. H/ACA box snoRNAs are involved in the conversion of uridines to pseudouridines (5-ribosyluracil) a constituent of structural RNAs (transfer, ribosomal, small nuclear, and small nucleolar). NCBI's taxonomy places the organism in Eukaryota, Metazoa, Chordata, Mammalia, Artiodactyla, Cervidae. The record is from Ensembl.
UUGCAGUCAGCUAAGCUGACUGUGCUCGUUUCCCUGAGGGGCCUGGGGUACCACGGCUGCAGACAGCAGCCUCCUGGCAUGCAUGAAGCAUGCUGCCUGGCUGGGCUGCUCUAAGGGACCCUGGAGACAGCC